ACGAUGGACCAAACAAGGGGGCAUAGAGCUGCCGGUAAAAGUUCACCUAAGAAGGCAAUCUAACUGCCAGGAAAAAUUAACUGCCGGCACAAAUAAAAGAGGACACACUUGCUGCCGGUAAAGAUGGAGGAGCACUGGCAAUCAAACUGCCGGCAACCAUUAAAACAUAUGGUGGCCCAUUAUCUGCCGGUAUAACUCAAUUCCGGCCCAUUAACUGCCGGCUCAACCCUCGCGGGGAGCGGAAAAAAAGCCCGCCGAAUUUGCGCGGGAGCAAAAAGUUGGCGAAAAGGACCCAUAUCUCGCUUGCCCUAGUACUUGGAAAAAAAAUCCCCGAAUCCCUAAAUCCCAAAUCUCACUUCCUCUCUCUCGUGUACGCGCGAGUUGCUCCUCCACCGCCGCCGGACGUCGUGCCUCUCCCCGCCGCCGGACGUCGCGCCUCUCCCCGCCGCCGCUCAGCCUUCUCUCCCUCAAGCUCGCGCGCCGCCUCACCCUCUCCUCUCCCCUCUCCGCCGCUCGUCGUUCCCCGCCACCACGCCGCCGCCCCGUCCCCGCCGAAAACGAGCUCGCCGCCGCCGGAAAGGAGCUCUCCGCCGCCUGUUGCUCAACGGACGGUGACCAUGGCGCACCUCCUCCUCUGAUUCGGAAAUCGAACAAGGACUCGUCCAUGGACCUCCUCCUGGCGCCGGCAACCACAACAAUGACCUGGUUCUUCCUGCCGCCGGCUAGAGGACGGCUGGCCGGCGAUGGAGAUCCACGGAGUCCGCUUUGCGCUCGUGGUGGACACCCUCUUCCCGAGGUCUCCUCCAUGACGCCGCCCCAGCAAGCCAGCGUCCGCACUUGACGUCUUUGCUCCCUGUCCCGUACCCUCGUCCCUUCCAUCUAGAACGGCGAGUGUACAAAAAAUCCCGAUUUUUCAUCUACUACACUAGCAGGAUUUCUAAUUAUGGGAACAAGUAGCCGUUUGUAGGUAGAUUCGUACGGGCUCUACUUGAUGUACUGCAGUUUCUUACUCUACUUCACACUGGUUUCAGCCCAAGGAAGCUUAUGCGAGUCAGUUGCUGCCCACCGGAGCUAUAUUAGAUGUUUACACACUGUAUAUAUUGUCAGUAGAUGUAUAUGCACUAUUAUGUGCUCAAUUCUUUUGAUUUUGUUUGCUGCUUAUUUUUAUGCAGGAGCAGUUCUCAUCAGCGACUUGCACAAAGUUCACCGUGGUGUAGCUCCGGAGGAUUUCUGCAAUCGGGAGGUCGACAACACAAGUUGUGGAAGAGGUCAAUUUUGCAAUUUAUGAGUUGGGGCGCUCCAGAAUAUGAUUUUGAUGUGGUUCAGAAAUAGUGUAGAAGCUGAUUUUGGUUUCUGUAGCAAAUGCUUGAUGGAUUAUGCUAUUCACGUGUAGAAAUAGUGUAGAUCUUGAUCAAGUGGUACCCUAUAGAAUUAUUCGUAUUAUGUUCAUGUUUGCAUUAGGAUUUGAACAAUGUUUUGUACGUGACCAGAUUAUGUUGAGAAUAUGUGGAUGUGUAUG
Non-coding RNA from Lolium perenne, 1519 nucleotides. The record is from RefSeq and is a predicted model, not a curated record. Lineage: Eukaryota; Viridiplantae; Streptophyta; Magnoliopsida; Poales; Poaceae.